This is a non-coding RNA of Pelobates cultripes (western spadefoot toad), 341 nucleotides long. NCBI's taxonomy places the organism in Eukaryota, Metazoa, Chordata, Amphibia, Anura, Pelobatidae. The record is from the annotation of a GenBank genome assembly.
GUCUCUUAUAAUGAUGUUGAUGAUUCAUUUUUCAUACAUUCCAUGUUAACUGUGAAUGUAUCACGUCUGUCUAUUCAUCCUUCUCCUUCACAUUUGCCGGUUCAGGUGUCAGAUCAUGAUUCAGUCUGUUACAUGGCUAUGAUUCUGGUGGAUUUUCUGUCGUCCUCUGUUUGUUUUAUCUUGCCAUCUUUAACAGCAUUCACUGUGUCAGUCAGUGGUUCUGUGAAUGUCCUGUUAGUAUUUAGCAGGUCGUAAAAUAUCAAAACUUACUGUUCUCUGUUGGCUCUGAUUGUUCUCUGUAGUAAAAGUUAUCGGAGUCACCCUCUCCAGGACAAACUGGC